CCUUCGUGCGCGGUGUCAGUUCUUACCAUGCUACAGAUAUAAAAGCUAAAAGCAAUAGUACUUCAGUCUCCAUUGUCAAGUUAAUUCUACCGUGACAUCUAGAGCACGACAUGGUGUCAGAAGUGGCAUAAGAUUGAACAAAAAACGGAGGAAAAGAUUCCAGUAUUAGCUGUAUGAGUGAGAACGUGGACUUCACCAGUAGGCUAAUAAGACGAGUAGCUAGUUAGCAGGCUAAAGUGAGUGAAACAACAUACUUGAUAGUUAUCUAUCAAGCUUGGGAUUAGCAGCAAUGCAGUCAUUUACACCACCAUCUCUGUUGUUAUUGACUGGAAAGACGCGCUGGAGAUCACAUAUGGCGACCCGGAAAACAAGAAACUGGCCGAGGUGAUGAAAGCAUUUGAAAACUACUGUGUACCACGCAGGAAUACUGUGUUCCAGAGACAUCCGUUUUGGGCACACAAGUUCAACGAACAGGCAGGCUAAAUGGUGGUCCUUUACGGAACUACAGUAAAGACAUUGGGAACCGGACCUCCAUCCGGAUGAGCUACCCAGAGGGAUGCCCCAAGGUCUGGGAGUUUGUUGACCCUGAGUUGCAGUUUGCGGCAGUGGUCUACAAGGCUGAGACUUCAAGUGGAUCAGAGCAAUGAUCAACAGACAGAGAGUGUCAUUUUGGGACCGGCUGUUUUCCUGGCAGAAGCUGCCAGAGGAGAUACCAGUAGACUUAUCAAAGUUUCGGAUCUUGUAUCUGGAGAUCAUCAGACAGAUGGCGAUGGAACUGUUGGACUACCGCACAGCCUCUAGGGCCGGGACCAGGUCAGACAACCUUUCACCAAUGACACAGCACACUUUACAUCAUUACACAGCAGACUUACAAAACAUUUUUAUACCCUAACUUAGCAAAUAUAAAAGGGAGAAUGAUAAAGGUGCUCUCCAGGAAAUUCUAUGCACAUGAUCAUACCAGUUUGUCACGCCCUGAUCUGUUUCACCUGUCUUUGCGAUGGUCUCCACCCACCUCCAGGUGUCACCCGUUUUCCAUAUUAGUCCCUGGGUAUUUAUUCCGGUGUUCCCUGGUUGUCCGUUGCCAGUUUGUCUUGUCUUAUCAAGUCAACCAGCGUGGUUUUCCGUGCGCCUGCUGUUUCUUAUCUCUCUUUUGCUAGUCCUCCUGUGUCUGCUUCUGGGUCUUGCCCUUUGCCCCUAUCCAGUUGGUAAAUUGUUUAUCUUUCCUUUAUCUCCCCUUUUUCCAGGGGAUGGCAGACUUCAACUCAAUAUUGAGAGAUGUUAUUGUUCUCUUUGUGGGCAUCAAAAAUGUGUCAAUACCUUUUCUGACUGGACUGCAAACUCUUCUAUGACUUGAUGUGUGCAACAUAAUGGAAAACAAGGAAGCUGCACACUUUGCUGCUCAGCUGAAACAACAGGCUUAAAUACUGUACCAGUACUUCCAUUUACAAUUCCCUCAAUACUUGAAGUAUAAUUGCUGCUAAAAUGUAAUAAUAAUAAAAAUAUAUAUAUAAAGAGCUUAUUGACAUUUCAUCAGAGCAAAUGGUAGCAUAAAGCUAAAAAGCAAAAAAUACUUCCCAUAAAAAUGUGUAGGUCUCUUGUAGUAUGAACAGAUUCACUAACAGAUGUUUAUAAUUUUAUGGAUUUGAUGUGAAGUUUAAUGUUCCGUUCUUAUAAAAAUUGGAUGUCUGAGCUUGGUUGUUUUGUCAUCAAUUAAUUGUAUUUUUAUUUUAAUGUACAUUUGUACUGUGAUUAAAACAUGACUUUGAUCAUUUUUAUUCAUAA
This is a long non-coding RNA of Salvelinus fontinalis (brook trout), 1782 nucleotides long. RefSeq lists it as uncharacterized. NCBI's taxonomy places the organism in Eukaryota, Metazoa, Chordata, Actinopteri, Salmoniformes, Salmonidae. The record is from RefSeq and is a predicted model, not a curated record. The transcript is spliced from 3 exons.